Molecule: ribosomal RNA, 253 nt
Filed under: uncultured bacterium
Lineage: Bacteria
Description: partial 16S ribosomal RNA
Rfam family: Bacterial small subunit ribosomal RNA
Source: RNAcentral
GACGUAGGGCGCGAGCGUUGUCCGGAUUUAUUGGGCGUAAAGAGCUCGUAGGCGGCUUGUCGCGUCGUUCGUGAAAACUCACAGCUCAACUGUGAGCUUGCGGUCGAUACGGGCAGGCUAGAGUUCGGUAGGGGAGACUGGAAUUCCUGGUGUAGCGGUGAAAUGCGCAGAUAUCAGGAGGAACACCGGUGGCGAAGGCGGUUCUCUGGGCAUUACCUGACGCUGAGGAGCGAAAGUGUGGGGAGCGAACAGG